Molecule: long non-coding RNA, 348 nt
Filed under: Monodelphis domestica (gray short-tailed opossum)
Lineage: Eukaryota; Metazoa; Chordata; Mammalia; Didelphimorphia; Didelphidae
Description: lncRNA (ENSMODG00000046167.1)
Source: RNAcentral
CCUACUUCCACUUCGGAGCACAUGCAUCUCUCCACCUAGCAGGCAAGAUUUCCUCCAGGCAACUUCCUAAAACAUAUCAGAAAAAUCAUAAAAAGCUCGAGAAGGGGCACUUAAUGAUGACAUAUUGAUCAAUGGCUUCUGCAUUUUGGAGGAAACAGUGGGCAAGGCCUAUCAUUUUUCCAGUAUAGGAAUAUUCUUCAAUCAAUACAGAUCAGGAAGAAGAGAAGGAGGAAGAGUUAGCAAAACAAUUUCUAAAUUUGAUUUCAAAAUCUCCCAGGAUGAUUCCUGGUCUAAUUAUCUUAACAGCUAUCCUCCAACUAUAAAAAUUGAAAGAAAACAAAAACCUAC